CGGGCACGGCGCAGUGAAAGUGGUAGUGUCGGCGGGCACACACGGCGCUUUCGUGCUGCCUCGUGAUCUGUCAUAAUCGACUGACUAUAUACAUGAAAAUCUGUGAUUGCACGAGGAUCGCUUCCUAUACGCCAAAGAACUUGCAGUGAAGUGAACAUGAUGUGAGGCGGCCACAACGGCACGUUAGCCGGAAUUACGGACUAAAGGCUCGCAAGACUAACUGGUUCAGACACAGUGGACGAGUGUCUAAUCAAGAAGAAAGCAUUUUCUCAGUGAAGAAAGUUUCAGAAAAAGUGGAAACAUGUCGCAACGCAUGCAGGAGAGUCCCUUCCGCGAAACGGAAUGGGAUCAGCGCCUUGACCGGAUGCUCGAUGACCUAAAGACGACCGUAGGAAGCGACGGCGAGAUGUCGGGGACGGAAGGGCGCUCAGACCCUCGG
Molecule: non-coding RNA, 439 nt
Organism: Penaeus vannamei (Pacific white shrimp)
Lineage: Eukaryota; Metazoa; Arthropoda; Malacostraca; Decapoda; Penaeidae
Source: RefSeq, a predicted model, not a curated record